This 6059-nucleotide long non-coding RNA is filed under the name Taeniopygia guttata (zebra finch). Its description in RNAcentral is "lncRNA (ENSTGUG00000023852.1)". The record is from RNAcentral. Lineage: Eukaryota; Metazoa; Chordata; Aves; Passeriformes; Estrildidae.
UUUUUUUUUUUUUUUUUAAUUUUUUUCAGUUUUUUCCCUCUCUUCUCCAGAGAGGGGCAGUUCUGAGGCACCAGUACCUGAGAACAAAGCUUACUCCUCAUAUGUUGCUGUCAUCACUGACCCUCUCCUAAUAGGUCAGGUUGAAUUUGAUAGAGGCAGGACCAAGGUCAGGCUCACUUGACUCUGGCUGUCUCUUCCACACACCAGAUACAAUGCUGCCACUUUGUGGUUCCUGCCUCUCUGUUCUGCUGCACACACUCACCCAGUGCUCUCAUCCUCUCAUGCCAGAGAGCAUCCCAGCUUUCUCUCCAGGGAGGACUAGUGACACUCCAACUCAGGCAUGCUAUCCAGCCCUACCUGCCUCCACAACAGGCUGAGGCCUAAAAAACCCCUUUUGUCAGUGGUCAUCUAUUGCAAGCCCCUUGUGCACUCCUAUAGCUUGUCUUGUGUGGCACCUAGUGCUUCCAACUAAGACCCUCUGAGUUGGAAGGGAGGGGGCAUAGGGAUGCCAAACUUCAUUUCUCACAUAGAUACCAUAUGUUUUACCCUCCUCUCCAGAUCCUUACAGAGGUGGCUGAUGAUUUUCAUGCAAGAAAAAUGUACUCAGGCCACUCUUUUUCUAAACAGCUUUUCUCUUGAUUGUAUGUCAGGAUCUUGAUCCUCUUUAUUUUUUUCCACCAGUGUUGUUUGUUUUUUUUUUUUAUUUCCUUCCUUCCUUUGACGAAAAGAAAAACACAUACACACAAAAACACAGCAGGACAGGAAAUGAAACCUUUGCACAAAGAUGACUUGGUAAGAUGCUGGGUUUUCACUCAUUUGUUUUGCACUGAUUAUUUUUUAUAGGGGAGAAAUGAAAGAGUGAGAACAAAAGUAUGUGACAGAGAGGGUAACUUAGCAGAGGAAAAAACAUCCUUUAAUUUAUUUGGAGAGCUCAGACAUUGGUUGUUGCUUUUUCCCUAUACACAUGAGAAAACCAAAAGAGCUUUAAACCCACCAGCAACACUCACAUGAAUGAAAUGCCAGGUGGAACUGCUCCCAUUUUCCUGGAUAUGAUAAGGAUAAUGGCUUCCUCCUGGCAAGAUUCUCCCCACAUCAUCCUGGUUAAGCAAGCCUUAGCUGUAAUGCAAUACCACUAGGCAUUCCAAGGCUCCUUUUAAUAUAAAUUAAUCCAUCGCUUUGUACCGAAAGGUUAUUUCAAAAUAAGGCCACAGCAGCUCCUUCAAAUCUUUCUUAAUCUUUCACGAGGAUAUGAACAUUACAGCCAGGAAGCACUGGAUGUCUCUGGCUCCCUUCUCAUCCUCAGUGCUCCCCAGACAGCAUGGUUUGCCUCCUCAGAGAGGAUCUGCCCCUUGGAGACACUGAAAUCCAAAGAGUUUAGGAAUUUGCACUUCAAAAAAGUGGAGGUAUAUCAAGGACAAUCAUUAUUUCUGAGAAAGAUGUGCCCCAGACAGGAAGAUUCCAGUAUUUGUCUGUGGACGUGUCUUACGCUUCCUGGAAACAUGUUCAAGUGCAGUAAGAAACAGCUGCGACAGUCCCAGCAAAUCCCAGCCUUCACCUGCAGGCUGGGAAUUUCCCUACACAUCCUACAAAGGGUGGAGCAGCCCAAAGGAGUGAGAACAGAGACGACUCUCCUGCCCCAUCCUUGGUGGCUACCCUCAAAGGUUACACCUGCAAACACUGCCACGUGCCCCAUUGUAUAUCUGCCACAAGGUUUAAACAGUUUCUUAUUUGCAUGCUCUACAAACCCAGAAAACACUGUGUUCUCUGUGGUAGUUUCAUUCUGUGUUUCUAUUGGCAUGAAGAACCAUGUACUGCCUGCUUUUACUGAAGGAGAGGGACAGCUUUAGGCUGCUGAGUGCUGUUAUUAGGGAAAAAACAAACCUGGUGAGGUGCAGUCAGAGGUGUCAUAGAAGGGUGGUUUAGUAACCAGAGCAGUGGAACUUGAUUCUCGUCCCAGGAGACAUGUUUAAAAUUGGGAUACUUAUAAAUCUGACCAAAGGGGAAUGUGUGUCUGUUCCAGGGCAGCAUUUAUGGGCAUGUUUUGCUGUUUCAGGACUUAAGUGCUUAUUUAUGUAUCCCUUCUCUGGGACAAAGUUCUGUGACUCAGUUUCCUAGACUACAAAGUAAGCAAGGUAAUAAUCCCAUGUCUGGGAGGGCAGGAUGCAUAGCCUAGAUCACGCUUGUAAAAUAAUUGAGACGUUUUGAGGAAGGGUCACUAGAAGAACCUAAUAAUUGAUAAGGCCACAGGAGAUCAAUGCACAGCUGUUUGUUGAUAAUUUUUAAAGCACAAGAGAACAUUAGCAAAUAGACUAUAACAAUAAGGUCCUUAGCUUGUUUUUUUUUCUCUCAAUUUAAUUCUCAGUAUGUAUUGGGCAUUUGGGUUGGGGGUUUCUUUAGCAGUUAUGAUCAUAUUUACAUUAUAUUUUUUCAGCAACAGCUGAGAUCAAGAAUGCACUGAUCAAGAUGCUGUGCAAGCACUUACAGAGCUGCCAUAUUCCAAAUGGACACAAAAAAGAGCCCAUCCUGUAGGAGAAAAGAGGUACCAGAUUGUGAUCAACAUGUUGGGUUCCUAACUCAGAAUUCAUUGAGGUUAAGACUCAGUUCCUUAAAGGCACUUAGAACCCAACUCCCAUUGAAGUCAAUGGGUGUUAGAUACCUAAAUAAACACAGAUUAUACAAGUUCCAGUCUGAUUUCUUAAUGACAAAAUCAUCUUCCAUCUCCACAUUUUGUGCAAUAAAUCCCCAGCAUUUGCAUCACAACAUGGAUACGCAAUGUCCACCCCAUCAAAUAACUGGAAACCUGCAGUGACAAAAAUGGUUUUCCUCAAAACAAGCCCAGCUACAGAUACACACCAGCACAUUUCUUCUAUAUUUGAGGUUGGCUUCUGCUCUUUACACCAUAGAAGCUUCCAUGGUGUUUAGAGUUUCCUCCCUAGGUUUACACCCAGGUGACAGAGAGCAGAAUCCAACCCCAGCACUACAAGUACAAGCACUUUUCACCUGGCUCUAGGGUGGGGAUGGAUUAGGCAAACUGAACUUUCUGAAAAGAUCAAUAUGGAAUAUCUCUUUCAAUUACUCUCCAAGGCACUAAGCCUGUGAAGUCGGUUAUGAUGCAUUUAUAAAUCUUUCCAGGAAGGGCUGUCUGACAUUCUCCUCUUCCACCUUUACUCCCCACAUAUAAUUCCCUAUUGCCUGGGAUGGACUGUCAGGGCAGUGUUACUGAGGAAAGACCCAGCCUUGAGUUUCUCAGAACCAGGACAGAUGGGGACCAUUUUCAUCUCCUUUUCCCAGACACUAAAAUUCACAUAAUCAGAGAGGCAGCUACAGAACAACAGGAGGGGCCAGGACCAAAUAUUCCAAGAGCCACUGCAAAGUCACUGGGACCAGAAGAUGUUGCACAAGCUGAAUAUGUGUGUUACACUCCCCAAAAAGAUCACAGCCCUAAUGGACUGCUAGUUUGGAUGCAAUUAUAUAGGGGAAUGGGGUGGGGGAGCCCUUAUGCUGAUACAGCUCCUUUGAUUCACAGAACAGUUUUAAAGGCUACCCAAAAAACUAUGCUGAAGGCAUUGAUUUAAGUUCAUCUUCUACAAGCCUGCUGGCUCUGAUACUGCAGGGUUGAAGAGAGGAUUUGGAGCACACAGGGAGAGUUUUCUAGAGGACCAUGAGUCACUAAACUGUGGCUAUGCUUUUCUCUGCAUUUACCUGCCAGGAAGACAGGAAACCUGCCAGUUAAAAGAGCAUCAGGGUCACUGGAGAUGCAAUCUGCGUCCCUCAUUCUCCCACUCCAAAAACCCUUUCUUAAGAUCAGGCUGUCUGAAGUUUUAUUUUGUGCUCUGUCUUGGUGUCUGGUUAGGACCUUCUCUAGAGGCACUAGCUGAAAGGCAGUAAUAGGCUUGGGCAACCAGGGCUGUGAGUGUUUAAUUCAUGCAAUCUAUUUAGGCAUUGCAUCAACAAGGCUGCAGGAUUAAUGCAUAUUAGUUCUCAUCUUUCAAAUCUGACUGCAGACCAAGCCUAAAAACACCACUACUGGCCAGGCUGUCUCUACUCCUGUGCGGGUGUUUUUUACUCAGAGGGUGUGGUGAGACAUCUUUAGGGGGGCACCUGGGAUGAGUUUGUGUCUCCUCUUGGGGGGUAACAAAAUCCACAUGAUGGUGUAUCGACAGGAAAGAGAAGCAGGGCAGUUUAGACUUCUCUCUGCAUUAGAUGCACCUCCUGCUGCAGACGGCAUGCAGGGAUUGGCUUGACUCUGGGUAAGAGUUUGUCACCUCUGCUGGGGCUAAGAGCCCCGCUGCUGGGUGCUGCACAGAUGGGGGAUGAACAGAAUCUCCAGGGUGCUGUGAUGCCAGGCAGGACACAGGAGAUGGUGAAUGGAUACUGGCAGAAAGGGCAAGUGUGGGCUGGUACUGAGAUGUUUUUCAGCAAUGUGGCUGGCAGCCAUCUCACCUACCCAGAACUUCAGGCUCUCAGGCAAUACCCGGGGCUGAAAAGGGGCUUGAUAGCAGCUGAAGGGGUUUUGGUCUUGGCUUAUAAACCCAGCAAAUGUGACAGGCUUAUCUCCCACCAGGUCCCUUCUUGCCCUUCCAGCUCUUCUUUACCUCAGCUUGAGAAAUGCCAGGAGGGAAGUAUGUGCUUGGGUCUUGUUUGAUCUGCAGCAGUACUGGGCUGAUCCCUGGCCUGAAAGGGUCUGCUUUGCUGAUGUGUCUUCACAGAAUGGACACCUCUGCAGCCCUUCACUGCUGCCUUUAAGGAAUCAGGAGUUCCAGAGGUGGGCAGGGAAAAUGCAGGAGCUGGCUGUGUGUGAGAAAGGCUGCAGGUAUGGCUGGGGAAAGUGUUCUCCUCCAUUUCUUUCCUUUGAGGUGACCAAGCCCUCAGCAGCUGCAAGGGUCAAUCUUGAUUUGUAAUCCACUGAUGAGGGUGAGACUUGUGAGGGUAGCCAGAAGGGGCAUUUAGACACGAGGUGCAACAUCUUUUGCCCACCAAGCCUGUGAAAGCCACAGCAGUCCAGAAGAUACCCUCACUGCUGCCAGGUGAGAACAACACUGUGGGGCAGCAUCAGGGAAAGCGCUUCAGGAGCAUCUGCGGAUUACAGGAAGUAAAAAAAAACCUGUCCAUAACCUGAUCCCAACUGCAGGAUCAGGCUGCAGUGAGGUAGAGAAGGACCUGCCAUCCUCAGUGACAGCAUUCAGUGUAAGUGCCAGCCUUAUUUUAACCCAAUGGAUACUGUUAAUGAGAGGAUGUAAAGGCACCAAGGAAAAUUUACAUGCAGUGACUGCACAAGGAUUGAAUCUUUCGGAGUGAAAUUUCUAGUGUGAGACAGUCUUGGUAGAUGUUAUGAAGAAUUAAUAUUUAUAGACCAUCUUAGCUCUUAGCUGGGAAUUUCUACACAGAGGUACAUUUGCAUUCUUGGAGAAGAACUUUUUAUGAACUUUUUUUUUCUUUAUCACUAAAUAGAAAUAACUUGUUGAUAUACAGCAUAUAAUUUGAAUGGGUGAUUACUGUCACAUUUACAGAUAAUUGAGCAAAGUGCAUAUAAUAGAUGUAUUUUUACAUUGUAGUGGUUGCAUUAUCUAGAAAAACAGAGAAACGCACAUGACUACAUUAAAGAUUUAGGGCUCUAUUCUGCACCAUUUAAGUCAAUGGGAGUUCGUCACUGAUUUUAAUGAAAGUUAGGGGUUUAUAAGUCCAAGUAAUGCAGCUGGUAAGGAAUAAAUAUUGACAUAAUUGGGUCAAUAUAUUGGUGUCUUUUAAGUACUAAAACUGUACUUUGAGAUACCUAUUGCUUUUUUUUUUUUUUUUUUUUUUUUUUUUUUUUUUUGCAUAUUCAUUGUAGCUGCAGUGCAGCCAUCCUGCUGCUAAAAAGCAGGACAUGGUGGGUACCAGUAUUCAUUGUGUAGUAGUGACACCUUCAGGUUACUACCAAAACCAACCCCCUCUGUGCAAGGCACUGCACACACGUGUGGAGAAAGAAACUUUUAAUGAGAGAUUUGGUGGCUUGGCCAAGUACAUAGGGCACAUUAGUGAUAGAGAUUGCAGUGAAUGCCAGGGACUGCAGCUCCAGG